Molecule: ribosomal RNA, 303 nt
Filed under: uncultured bacterium
Lineage: Bacteria
Description: partial 16S ribosomal RNA
Rfam family: Bacterial small subunit ribosomal RNA
Source: RNAcentral
AGCAGUCGCCGCGGUAAAACGGAGGGCGCGAGCGUUACCCGGAUUUACUGGGCGUAAAGGGCGUGUAGGCGGCCUGGGGCGUCCCAUGUGAAAGGCCACGGCUCAACCGUGGAGGAGCGUGGGAUACGCUCAGGCUAGAGGGUGGGAGAGGGUGGUGGAAUUCCCGGAGUAGCGGUGAAAUGCGCAGAUACCGGGAGGAACGCCGAUGGCGAAGGCAGCCACCUGGUCCACUUCUGACGCUGAGGCGCGAAAGCGUGGGGAGCAAACCGGAUUAGAUACCCCGGUAGUCCCUGUCUCUUAUAC